CAAAACCGGAAACUGAGCCCUUGCUUAUAACUGAAAUUUCUUUCCCGUAGAUGAUGUGUGUACCCUCAUUAUACGCGCUCGUAACUCAUCAUGCCUACCGCCACCCCCUCAUCCCCGCGCUGCGUCGCCUUCUUCGCCAACCUCCGCUGCCACGACGGAAAUGCCCACCCCCACCCCCACCCCCUGCCGAGGAGGACGAGCAGAGCCAAGGGGAAUUAAUUAAUUAAUUAAUUACUUACAAGAGGGUAUUUCGAGGAUUAAUUUCACGCUUGUUAUAUAAAGAGGCCAUGCCAGGUAUUGCUUGUUAGCAAUCCCCUGUUCUAUCGUACUACUUCUUUAGUACUCUUCUAUAUAUGCUAUUGCGAGUGUUAUAUAUUAUGUAUGUACUUAUGAAGUUGCGUACAAAUUCAUUUCGUUGAGUUCUCUCUUUUUCUUUUUCUUUUUUUAAGGCCAGAUCGUAAUCCAGUCAAUAUUUGGAUAUAUAGCAUUUGAACAGCCAAUUUUUUUGCGUUCACCCAUGCAGAUUAAAACGUUUGAAUGAAAAACAAAAAUUGUAACAUAUAAUGCAGGUAAUCCGUAAUAUGGUUUGUGUUUUGCGUUGUAACUUGAUAUAUAGACUCUUGUUUUGCACAAGAUAAUCUUAUGCAGUUAAUUUUUACUUAGAUGAUAAAUUUUAAGUAUUUGAAAUUCGUGAAUUACAAUUGCACUUGAUGGAAAGUGAACACUGCUUCUGAGGAGGAUAUGUGACUCUAUGUAGAUGCCAUAUUCUUUGAACGCAUUAUGAAGUUUGUAAUAAAGAGAGUUUUCUAGAAUUAGAUGCAUAUCUUUGGGGCCAACCCAACCACGAGGAAUCAUUGAAAUGCUUAGCCAUCAUGUUUUUAUGCAUAUAAAAAAUAUCGGUGGAUACUCUACUUUAUCCGGCCUGGCCCAGAAAAAAGCCCAAUGAAUUUGGGCCCAUGCCUG
Molecule: long non-coding RNA, 963 nt
Filed under: Ananas comosus (pineapple)
Lineage: Eukaryota; Viridiplantae; Streptophyta; Magnoliopsida; Poales; Bromeliaceae
Description: long non-coding RNA (ACOM_LNC011335)
Source: RNAcentral